This 253-nucleotide ribosomal RNA is filed under the name uncultured bacterium. Its description in RNAcentral is "partial 16S ribosomal RNA". It matches the Rfam family "Bacterial small subunit ribosomal RNA", at positions 524 to 776 of the family's 1533-position model. The record is from RNAcentral.
UACAGAGGUCUCAAGCGUUGUUCGGAUUCAUUGGGCGUAAAGGGUGCGUAGGUGGCGCGCUAAGUCAGGUGUGAAAUUUCGGAGCUUAACUCCGAAACUGCAUUUGAUACUGGCAUGCUUGAGGACUGGAGAGGAGACUGGAAUUUACGGUGUAGCAGUGAAAUGCGUAGAGAUCGUAAGGAAGACCAGUGGCGAAGGCGGGUCUCUGGACAGUUCCUGACACUGAGGCACGAAGGCCAGGGGAGCAAACGGG